AUCGAACGCUGGCGGCAGGCCUAACACAUGCAAGUCGAGCGAGCGGCGGACGGUUGAGUAAUGUAUGGGGAUCUGCCCGUAAGCGGGGGAUAACUACUGGAAACGGUAGCGAAUACCGCAUACUAUGGGAUGAACCCAUAUGGGAUUAGCUAGUUGGUGGGGUAAUGGCUCACCAAGGCAACGAUCCGUAGCCGGUCUGAGAGGCCGACCAGCCACACUGGGACUGAGACACGGCCCAGACUCCUACGGGAGGCAGCAGUGGGGAAGUGUCGACAAUGGGGGAAACCCUGAUCCAGCAAUGCCGCGUGAAUGAUGAAGGCCUUCGGGUUGUAAAAUUCUGUUGGCAGAGAAGCGGUAUCUGCAGAAUAAGCAACGGCUAACUACGUGCCAGCAGCCGCGGUAAUAC
This 406-nucleotide ribosomal RNA is filed under the name uncultured bacterium. RNAcentral describes it as "partial 16S ribosomal RNA". It matches the Rfam family "Bacterial small subunit ribosomal RNA", at positions 30 to 526 of the family's 1533-position model. The record is from RNAcentral.